Non-coding RNA from Poecilia reticulata (guppy), 509 nucleotides. The record is from RefSeq and is a predicted model, not a curated record. NCBI's taxonomy places the organism in Eukaryota, Metazoa, Chordata, Actinopteri, Cyprinodontiformes, Poeciliidae.
GACACUUUUUGGACUCACUGUUCAUUUCCAGUGCAGGAUUCCUCGAAAUUCAAAAGAUUGUUUUGUUUUAAGAUAAUAAAUAAAAGGAAACCGGUAGAGUUGAUGAUACAAGUAUCGGUCCUGGCCUGUAUUUACGCGGUGUGAGCUCCCAGCCCGCUGAAGGAGCGUCUGUUGAGCUUGUGAAGCAGGGCAGCUCAUCCACCUGUGCCGCGGAUGCUGCAGCCGGAGCGGACCUGGCGUUACAUGGCGUAGUUUCUGCAUCGCUUACUUCUUGUCUCUCCUGAGGAUUUGUAUUAUUAUCAUUUCUUUUUUUGUUACCUUUUGUCUUUCCUCCUCUGGCGUAUGAAAGAGGCAUCUAAAGUUGUGAUGAUGCCUCCGCUCGGCGUUUGGGAUUUGUAACAGCCUCAUGUGMAAGGGUGAUAUCCUGUCAGCCUGUGAUUUAACGACACGGUCCUUUGGACGCGGAUAAAAACAUGGACUAAACCUUCGCUUCAACACAGUCAAUAUGG